This 310-nucleotide ribosomal RNA is filed under the name uncultured bacterium. Its description in RNAcentral is "partial 16S ribosomal RNA". It matches the Rfam family "Bacterial small subunit ribosomal RNA", at positions 503 to 807 of the family's 1533-position model. The record is from RNAcentral.
AAGAGACAGCAGUCGCCGCGGUAAUACGGAGGGUGCAAGCGUUAUCCGGAUUUAUUGGGUUUAAAGGGUCCGUAGGCGGAUCUGUAAGUCAGUGGUGAAAUCUCACAGCUUAACUGUGAAACUGCCAUUGAUACUGCAGGUCUUGAGUAAAUUUGAAGUGGCUGGAAUAAGUAGUGUAGCGGUGAAAUGCAUAGAUAUUACUUAGAACACCAAUUGCGAAGGCAGGUCACUAAGAUUUAACUGACGCUGAUGGACGAAAGCGUGGGGAGCGAACAGGAUUAGAUACCCCAGUAGUCCCUGUCUCUUAUAC